Non-coding RNA from Phascolarctos cinereus (koala), 617 nucleotides. Lineage: Eukaryota; Metazoa; Chordata; Mammalia; Diprotodontia; Phascolarctidae. The record is from RefSeq and is a predicted model, not a curated record.
AGCCAAGAAAACAUUGCAGACAGUGACUGAGAUGUUAUGUUUGUACUGGAUCCAGUGAAGAAAGUGUUUAUUAAGCACUUACUGAGUACACAUCGUUGGACUGUGUGCUGGGGACACAAAGGGAAACGUGGGGCAGCUCCAGCCUCAUGGAGCUUCCAUCCCAAUGAGGAGAGAGUGAGCACCUAGGGAGGGUUUCAGCUGCACGUCCCAUGGAAAGGUCCCCCGGGCUUUACUGGGCAACAGUGAAGCAGAUUCUCGUGUCUCCUUAACGUAACAUUGGGCUGUUGGACAGGCUGAGGACUUUGAGGGGAGAAUUUCCUUUUCUGGGUCCAUGGGGGCAGCUUCCCCGGGCCAGAAGCGUGGCUACCCCCAAAGCUCUCGGGUCAUGGGCUAUCAGGGUCAAGGGCACAUGGUGGUGCUUUGACUUGCCCAGUACCUGCCACCUCCUGUCUCUCCCUGGGGGUACCCCACCCCCACUUCAGCCGGCCCAGCUGGCUGUUCUCAUGUUGUUUCCCUCAUUGCAAUGGGAUGUUCUUGAAGACAGGGUCUCUUUCUGCCUUUCUUUGUAACCUCAGCCCUCAGCCCAGUGUGUGGCAUACAGUAGGUGCUUCAGCAAA